GACGAACGCUGGCGGCGUGCUUAACACAUGCAAGUCGAGCGGACAGACCCUGCGUUUGUGGCGUGCUCGAUUGCCGCACGGGUGAGUAACACGUGAGUAUCAUGCCCCUGUCAUUCUGGGAACUUCACGGGACUGGGGCUCAUAUACGGUAGGAUAUCCUGCACCACGGUGGGGGUUGGAGAGUUUCGGCGGUUGUGGAUGGACUCGCGGCUUAUCCGCUUGAUGGUGUGGUAGUGGCUUACCAAGGUUUUGACGGGUAGGCGGCCUGAGAGGGGUACCGGCCACAUUGGGACUGAGAUACGGCCCAGACGCCUACGGGAGGCAGCAGUCGGGAACAUGGCACAACGGGCGGAAGCGUGAGGCAGCAACGCCGCGUGCGGGAUGGUGUGCUUCGGGUGGUAAACCGCUGUCUCCGGUGACGAAGCGUGAGUGACGGUAAUGGGUAAAGAAGCACCGGCUAACUACGUG
Molecule: ribosomal RNA, 468 nt
Filed under: uncultured bacterium
Lineage: Bacteria
Description: partial 16S ribosomal RNA
Rfam family: Bacterial small subunit ribosomal RNA
Source: RNAcentral